CGGAGUUGUGCCGCCUAACUGAGAGGCCCCUGCUCUGCAACCCCGGACUGAGUCAAGUGUUCCUGUUCCCAUGUCUCGUGUUUCCCGUGUCCCCGAGUCCAGUGUUCUGGUGUUCCCUAGUCUCCUGUGUUAUGUGGCCUUGUGGGCGUCUGGUAUCCACCCCUUGGGGGGUGGGGUGGGGGUGGGGGUACUGUCACGAUCUGCCCCUGCCUUCCUGACUGUGUCUCUCUCCUGCCCUGAUUAGUCCUUAUUGUUCUCACCUGCCACUCUUUAACCUGCUCAUGUGUUCCCAAUUUUCCCUGUGUAUUUAUACCUCCCUCCUUGUACCAGUCUUCGUCGGAUCAUUGUAUGUGCAUGUGCUUGUUUUGUCCUGUCGCUCCCGUUCCACCAUUAAAACCAUUUUUAUUUUUCAUCCGUGCCAUCUCUGGUGUCUCCUGAACUCUCCACCAUACAUGGUCUACCAUCUCCACUCCUCCCAACAUGACACCACCAAGUCAUGUCAUUUGCAAUUUAAAGGUCUGUUUUUUAGAUUUAACUUGGAGCUUUGUCAAAACAAACAGUGGAAACUAGGCAUUGGUGACACCUCCCCAACGGUAGGAUGAACACAUUAAUCUAAACCUUGGAUAAAACUCACAAGGCUAUUUGAGCAAUUAAUUUUAUGAAACAAAUCCAUGUAAUCUUCUACCAGUGCCGUUUUAAACUCCACCUCCAGGUGCAAAGGCGGGAGAUUGCUUAAUGUAUGACAUUUCUCAAUAUUUCGCUUCCAGUUACUGCAUAUAUAAGGAAAUCCCACCAUUCAGAGCUACAAAACAACAAUCCACCUGUAGGGAAGUCUGAAGCUGUGAAGGCCAAACGGUAAAAAUCCUGUUUUACUUUAAUUAGAUUUAUAUUGUAAAAGUUUUAUUUAUCAGCAGCUGUUUUUAAGAGAAUACAUGUUUUGUUUUAUUAGGUGAAAUCAUGCUGAAGGUUGCAUUUAUUCUUGGAUGCCUCCUGAGCCUCACUGUGGUUCAAUCUGCGGAGCCUCAGCGAUUAGGCCGCUCUGACUCCAACUCUGGUUCCAACUCCCAUGAGGCUCGUUUGGGAAAUGCAGCAGCAGCGAGGCAGAAGUUCCUUCUGCAACUCAUCCAGCUCAUUCAAAGGUUAAAAUUAACUACAACUACAGCAACAACUACAACCCCAGCUGCCACAACUACAACCCCAGCUGCCACAACUACAACAGCUGCCACAACUACAACAGCUGCCACAACUACAACAGCUGCAACAACUACAACAACUACAACAGCUGCGACGACUACCACUGCAGCUGCAACUACAACCUCAACUGCAACCAUUGUCACCACCCCUGGAGCUGGGGGAAAGUAA
Molecule: long non-coding RNA, 1362 nt
Filed under: Nothobranchius furzeri (turquoise killifish)
Lineage: Eukaryota; Metazoa; Chordata; Actinopteri; Cyprinodontiformes; Nothobranchiidae
Description: lncRNA (ENSNFUG00015001597.1)
Source: RNAcentral